GUAGUCUGCAACUCGACUACAUGAAGCUGGAAUCGCUAGUAAUCGCGAAUCAGAAUGUCGCGGUGAAUACGUUCCCGGGUCUUGUACACACCGCCCGUCACACCAUGGGAGUUGGGAAUGCCCGAAGCCGGUGACCUAACCGAAAGGGAGGAGCCGUCGAAGGCAGGCUUGAUAACUGGGGUGAAGUCGUAACAAGGUAUC
RNAcentral lists this ribosomal RNA (201 nucleotides) under uncultured bacterium. Its description in RNAcentral is "partial 16S ribosomal RNA". It matches the Rfam family "Bacterial small subunit ribosomal RNA", at positions 1300 to 1500 of the family's 1533-position model. The record is from RNAcentral.